GGGGUCCCAUCCUGCUGAACAAAGGCGUUUUUUCCUCUUGGUCCAUUUCAAACCCUCCUGUUUCUUUCGCAUUAUCUGCUAACGCCCAUCAACAAUCACGAGUUGUAAGAGUCAUUCUCAGCAACCCCCAAAUGAUUCGAAAAGAGAGAUCUCUCUUCUCAGAUCUCAAGGAACUUACUCCAGCUAGUUAGAGAACUGAGAUGAAAGAAGAGAAAGGAGAGAUUCAGAUUGUGAGAGGGACUCCCCAUUGUUGCUGACUUCGAAGAUGGAGGAAGGAGAUGCCAAGCCCAAUGCAGGUGCCUCUUGGAGCUGGGAAUAGUCCUGAGCUGAUUAGACAGCAAACAAGUGAGGACCUCAGCCUGCAACAUCAAGGAACUGAAUUCUGCCAACCUUCCAAAUGAAUAAGAAACUUCCAGCUGGCAAGACAGUCACAGCAAAAGUCUGGCCUGGCUACAGAAUCAUGGACAUCCUUUCCAAACACAGCAUCUGAAAACACACCCCAGGCCACUGGCACUGGACUUCCCUCCCUGAAUAAGGAUCUCUUUGCAAAAAUUCAAAAUUCAAAAGAGCUCUGGAAAGCAACUUGUCAUGACUCUUCCCUUCUUCCUCUUGCUCACCAAACUGUAUUUGCCUUUCUCUCACAUGGUUGUAACCCUGACUUUCCUUGAUUAAACUGAAGGUUGCCUGAGGCAAGGGAUAAAGUCCCACCUUCUCGGAUUUCUUGCAGUCCUUAAUUCAGCAUGGUGCUCCUUGGCUUUGGGCAUGAAGCAUGGCAGGAACUUCAUGUCGUGCAGGAUCUUUUCUGUCGCAUACGGGGAGGGCAACUUUGGUAGCAUUUUACAGAAUAUAUUGAAUCAACUGGCUAACCUCCAUAGAAAUGUUAAGGCAGGGAAUGGUAGAAUUGGUAGAAAUGGUAGAAAUGACAUGGAUUUGUCUAAUUCAGCCAUUUAACUGAUUCCUGUAGCAUCUCUCUACCACUUCCAGAAAUUGGAAACCAGAUUUUAAAAUUAGAGUACUCAGCCAUAAACUUGGGUUUUACUUCUUGAUUUGUAAACUUGGAGAGGAUAGUUUCCUUCUGCAUAAAACGGGGCUAAUAACACCUAUAUCAAAAGGUAGUUGAGAAGACUAAGUGAAGCAUCAUGUGCAGAAUAGUUGGCACCUGGCACAUAAAAGGUGCUCAGAAGCAUUAAGUUUA
Molecule: non-coding RNA, 1195 nt
Organism: Vicugna pacos (alpaca)
Lineage: Eukaryota; Metazoa; Chordata; Mammalia; Artiodactyla; Camelidae
Source: RefSeq, a predicted model, not a curated record